This 576-nucleotide ribosomal RNA is filed under the name uncultured eukaryote. RNAcentral describes it as "SSU rRNA". It matches the Rfam family "Eukaryotic small subunit ribosomal RNA", at positions 203 to 787 of the family's 1831-position model. The record is from RNAcentral.
UUUGUUACUUCAAACCAAUCGGACUUCGGUCUGACAUCAAGUGAUAUUGAACAAUUUAGCUGAUCGCACGGUCUAAGAACCGGCGACAUAUCCUUCAAAUGUCUGCCUUAUCAACUUUCGAUGGUAGAUUAUGCGCCUACCAUGGUUGUAACGGGUAACGGAGAAUCAGGGUUUGAUUCCGGAGAGGGAGCCUGAGAAACGGCUACCACAUCCAAGGAAGGCAGCAGGCACGCAAAUUACCCACUCCCGGCACGGGGAGGUAGUGACGAAAAAUAACAAGCUGGUCUCAAUGAGUUCCAGCAUUGUAAUGGGAACAAUUUAAAUCUUUUAUCGAGGAUCUAUAGGAGGGCAAGUCUGGUGCCAGCAGCCGCGGUAAUUCCAGCUCCAAUAGCGUAUAUUAAAGUUGUUGCGGUUAAAAAGCUCGUAGUUGGAUCUAGGAUUAGGGCUACGGUCGUUCAGCUUGGACGUACUGUAUGCCCGACUCCUUUUCUCUAGUAUUCGAUUGUUGCUCUUAAAUGAGUGACUUUAGUUGCUGGAACUUUUACCUUGAAAAAAUUGAAGUGCUAAAGCAGGUUA